This 440-nucleotide ribosomal RNA is filed under the name uncultured bacterium. Its description in RNAcentral is "partial 16S ribosomal RNA". It matches the Rfam family "Bacterial small subunit ribosomal RNA", at positions 338 to 795 of the family's 1533-position model. The record is from RNAcentral.
CCUACGGGGGGCAGCAGUAGGGAAUAUUGCGCAAUGGGGGAAACCCUGAAGCAGCAACGCCGCGUGGAGGAUGAAGGUUUUCGGAUUGUAAACUCCUUUUGUUAGAGAAGAUAAUGACGGUAUCUAACGAAUAAGCACCGGCUAACUCCGUACCAGCAGCCGCGGUAAUACGGAGGGUGCAAGCGUUACUCGGAAUCACUGGGCGGAAAGAGCGCGUAGGCGGGAUAGCAAGUCAGAUGUGAAAUCCUAUGGCUUAACCAUGGAACUGCAUUUGAAACUGUUAUUCUAGAGUAUGGGAGAGGUAGGUGGAAUUCCUGGUGUAGGGGUGAAAUGCGUAGAGAUCAAGAGGAAUACUCGUGGCGAAGGCGACCUGCUAGACCAUAACUGACGCUGAGGCGCGAAAGCGUGGGGAGCAAACAGGAUUAGAUACCCGGGUAGUC